This 75-nucleotide antisense RNA is filed under the name Kitasatospora viridis. RNAcentral's name for it is "ASpks TB sRNA". It matches the Rfam family "ASpks TB sRNA". The record is from Rfam by way of RNAcentral. Lineage: Bacteria; Bacillati; Actinomycetota; Actinomycetes; Kitasatosporales; Streptomycetaceae.
CUUCACCGACCCCAGCAGCAGCGGCCGACCCUCCGGCCGGUCCUGGCCAUAGGUGGCGAGAAGCGCCUGGGCCUC